UCAGUUUUUCCGGCGACUUUUCCGGCAGCUACAGAGACUUUCCGGCCAGAAUUUCAAAAAGUUUCUUCAGGACAGUAUCAUCGCCCUCAAAUACCGAGCCUACUCAUGUUUUUACUUUUCAAUUCCGACAACUUUGAAGUUUUUCCGGUAUCUACAGUGAUUUUCUGGCAAAAAAAAACAGUUUUCCUUCAUCUGUUUCAGUAAAUUUUCAACGAUGUCUUUGGGAAUCGAUGCUUUCGGGUCUAGAAACCUGGGUUCGAUGUUANNN
This 268-nucleotide long non-coding RNA is filed under the name Nicotiana benthamiana. RNAcentral describes it as "long non-coding RNA (NBEN_LNC034137)". Lineage: Eukaryota; Viridiplantae; Streptophyta; Magnoliopsida; Solanales; Solanaceae. The record is from RNAcentral.